RNAcentral lists this ribosomal RNA (896 nucleotides) under Lanceolata brunnea. RNAcentral's name for it is "partial large subunit ribosomal RNA". It matches the Rfam family "Eukaryotic large subunit ribosomal RNA", at positions 29 to 948 of the family's 3401-position model. Lineage: Eukaryota; Fungi; Ascomycota; Leotiomycetes; Helotiales; Calloriaceae. The record is from RNAcentral.
AAAAUUUUAGCUAUCAAUAGCGGAGGAAAAGAAACCAACAGGGAUUACCUCAGUAACGGCGAGUGAAGCGGUAACAGCUCAAAUUUGAAAUCUGGCUCUUUCAGGGUCCGAGUUGUAAUUUGUAGAAGAUGCUUCGGGUGAGGCUCCGGUCUAAGUUCCUUGGAACAGGACGUCAUAGAGGGUGAGAAUCCCGUAUGUGACUGGGUGCCCUCGCCUAUGUGAAGCUCUUUCGACGAGUCGAGUUGUUUGGGAAUGCAGCUCAAAAUGGGUGGUAAAUUUCAUCUAAAGCUAAAUAUUGGCCAGAGACCGAUAGCGCACAAGUAGAGUGAUCGAAAGAUGAAAAGCACUUUGGAAAGAGAGUUAAACAGUACGUGAAAUUGUUGAAAGGGAAGCGCUUGCAACCAGACUUGCGCGCGGUUGAUCAUCUGGGGUUCUCCCCAGUGCACUCUGCCGUGCUCAGGCCAGCAUCGGUUCCGGUGGUUGGAUAAAGGCCCUGGGAAAGUAGCUCCUCUCGGGGAGUGUUAUAGACCAGGGUGCAAUGCAGCCUACUGGGACCGAGGACCGCGCUUCGGCUAGGAUGCUGGCGUAAUGGUUGUAAGCGACCCGUCUUGAAACACGGACCAAGGAGUCUAACAUCUAUGCGAGUGUUUGGGUGUCAAACCCAUACGCGUAAUGAAAGUGAACGGAGGUGAGAACCCUUAAGGGUGCAUCAUCGACCGAUCCUGAUGUCUUCGGAUGGAUUUGAGUAAGAGCAUAGCUGUUGGGACCCGAAAGAUGGUGAACUAUGCGUGAAUAGGGUGAAGCCAGAGGAAACUCUGGUGGAGGCUCGCAGCGGUUCUGACGUGCAAAUCGAUCGUCAAAUUUGCGCAUAGGGGCGAAAGACAAUCAACCUCGGU